GAGGGUACAGCUCAAGUGGUAGAGUGCGUGCGUAGCAAGCACUAGGUUCUGGGUUCAAUCCCCAGUACCGCUA
RNAcentral lists this transfer RNA (73 nucleotides) under Camelus bactrianus (Bactrian camel). It matches the Rfam family "tRNA". Rfam says of the family: Transfer RNA (tRNA) molecules are approximately 80 nucleotides in length. Their secondary structure includes four short double-helical elements and three loops (D, anti-codon, and T loops). Lineage: Eukaryota; Metazoa; Chordata; Mammalia; Artiodactyla; Camelidae. RNAcentral also lists the same sequence under 2 other names. The record is from Rfam by way of RNAcentral.